Molecule: RNase P RNA, 381 nt
Filed under: Alteromonadaceae bacterium BrNp21-10
Lineage: Bacteria; Pseudomonadati; Pseudomonadota; Gammaproteobacteria; Alteromonadales; Alteromonadaceae
Description: RNase P RNA component class A
Rfam family: Bacterial RNase P class A
About the family: Ribonuclease P (RNase P) is a ubiquitous endoribonuclease, found in archaea, bacteria and eukarya as well as chloroplasts and mitochondria. Its best characterised activity is the generation of mature 5'-ends of tRNAs by cleaving the 5'-leader elements of precursor-tRNAs. Cellular RNase Ps are ribonucleoproteins.
Source: RNAcentral
GGAGUUGGCCGAGACAAUCGCCGCCCUAUUGCCUUUCGGGGUUUUAGGGGAGAGGAAAGUCCGGGCUCCAUAGGGCAGGGUGCCAGCUAACGGCUGGGCGGCGUGAGCCGACGACAAGUGCAGCAGAGAGAAGACCGCCUAAGCAUGAUUUAUCAUGCCGGUAAGGGUGAAAGGGUGCGGUAAGAGCGCACCGCACCGCUGGCAACAGUGUGUGGCAAGGUAAACUCCACCCGGAGCAAGACCAAAUAGGGUUUCAUUACUUUAAAUAGUAUACGCGCGGCCCGCGUGGAAACCGGGUAGGUUGCUUGAGCCAGUGAGCGAUUGCUGGCCUAGAUGAAUGAUUGUCCAAGACAGAACCCGGCUUAAUGGCCAACUCCACCC